Sebastes umbrosus (honeycomb rockfish) is the source of this 1506-nucleotide long non-coding RNA. RefSeq lists it as uncharacterized. NCBI's taxonomy places the organism in Eukaryota, Metazoa, Chordata, Actinopteri, Perciformes, Sebastidae. The record is from RefSeq and is a predicted model, not a curated record. The transcript is spliced from 2 exons.
GUUAAUUAGGACAGGUAAAGGCUAAAUGUAAAAUGCUCGGCCAUGGGAGAAAAGAGCCAUGUGGUAGGAAGGUAGGAAGUAAGAGUGUGUGUGUGUGUGUGUCAUGUGCUUUUAGUAGCUCACUUCUCUUUCGACGACAGGAUUGUGAUAACCUGUUAGUUGCAGAUUCAUCAAUUAGCCUACUGUCUAUUCUAUGUUUGACCCACUCCUGCAGUGGGUUAACAGAUGCACUCACACACUCACCCCCAGAUGGCAGGAAUAACAUUAAGCAAGAGUGAACCGUUAAAAGAGAGGCGGCAGCAGAAUACAAAAAAAAAAGAAAAGGGGAAUAUGAGGCAAAAUUUAGAAAAAAAAAACAGCAGCUGAGAUUAAAAGACAAAUCUGUUUUUCAGCUGAGAGAGCGCAGGAGGUUAGAGAGCGGAGGAGAGCAGAGGGAGAGAUAGAGGGUGAUACAGUGUGUUUUGCCAGCCUGAGCUUAUGUGUGUGUACGUGAGGGUGGGGAAUCUUAUGGACAGUGAAUCAUUAAUAUCAGCAGCCUGUAAGACACUAAUGAAUAACACGGGAAUAUAUCAGCUCAUCGUUUGCUUCUCUCCUCUCCCCUUCACUCCUCACACUCUGCUCUCUCCUUCUCUCUCUCUCUAUCUCUCUCUCUCUGCACCAGAUUCAUGUCUUCCAGCUUUAAUGAGAAACACCUGUUAGAGCUCCUCGUUAGGCAUCCCUUGUUCAGGUCCCAUUAGACUACUAGUCCCUCUCGACUGUGCACUGUGUGUGUGUGUGUGUGCUGGGUGAACUUUCCGGAAACUCAACAGAUUUUAUGACAGCUGACCAAUUCACCACACACCAAAACAAUUAUGAACUGAUCCAUAUGUGAACACUAGAGAAUCCAAGUUAUAUCCAUGAUGGACAUAUAUAGUGUUGAUGUAUAUUUCCCCCCCAAUGCUUUUUAGAAAUACUGCACAGCAUUUGGUGAUGCAUUUUUUUUAGAGAUGUUCCGAUACCAUUUUUUCCUUCCCGAUACCAAUCCGAUACCAGCAUGAUAAAUAUAAUAUCGUUGUCGCUUUUGGGCUAUCUUAGUGGAAUUUAUCUUGUUGUUGGAAUGCGGUUUCCAAUGUGUCCUGCUGCUGUUUAUCCUUUUUAUCCCCUCUGCCUUGGUGAAGUUGUCGUACUCUUUCGUGUGAUGUGCUGAAAUUGGAAACCCAUGGAAACGAAAGCCUUACAUACUGUUCAUAUCGCCGUUUUACUUGUUAGAAUUUCCACUGUGAAAUAUUGCCAAAUGGCUGACAUUUUCCUCCUUCUGACUACCGUUACCAAAGAACGUAUGUUGCUAAGAAGUGAAAGUCAGUGUUUGUUCCAUUGCAACAUCAGCUCCCAGCACCAAAGCUACGCCUACGCCAGUAAAAUGUCCGCCUAAAAAGUGCCGUACAAAAGUAAAACAAAAUUAUUUCUGUUCUGUUGUCAUAUUGUACUGAAAAUGCCUGCGUUAAACAAUAAAAUAUUAUAAAUAUA